UUUUUUUUUUUUUUUUCCUGGAAAACACCAAGUGAGUGACACAAGAAUGGGACCGUGUCUCUCCAGCCCUCAAUUAAAUAUUGGCCGUGUCCCUUCGAGAUCAUUUUUCUUGGUGACAUGUUAAACAAUCUCAGGUCAGUCCGAGUCCUUAAAGGUCACCGUGGGUGUCAGGAAUGCAGCUCCAACCGAUGUACUGGACAAGCGCGUGGAGGCGCCCUUCAGCCCCCUGUGGGCCAGAGCCCUAGCUUGCUGUUAAAGAAACACAGAUUCUGUUUACUUGUUGUCUGUUGGCUCUCCGUUGCUGCCUCUAGACCUCGCACGCAGUUGGAGAUGGGGGGUGGGGUGGGUGCUGUACCGUUGGUGCCCAGAGGAUGCCAUUGAAAAGGGGCGACGUCUUCACACUGCUCUUUGUGGUGCUGGCCUCCCUUCCCGUGGGCAAACGCCGAGGCUGGAGCCCUCCCGGCUGCCCAGUGGCUUUUGUGUGUGUGCAGCUUUCAGCUCCUGUCCAUCAGCCUGAAUGGGCCCAUUCAAGGGCAUUCAUGCGCCGAGGAGACCCCGGCCGCCUGGACACAAUCAGCUGAGAAGGGCACCGCGGGCCCCGCACAUGAGAACGCGCCCACUCUGCCUGUCUCCAGGAGCCCCGAUUGUUCCAUGGAGCCCGGAGCCCGGGAGUGAGCCCAGACGGGCGAUGCUGGACAGCCACUGGGGCUCAUACACGCUGCACUUGGGGGCAGUGGGAGGGAGGGGGAGGAAUACCUUGCUGCGAAGGAGGAAUGUGCAAGCUCGGGCCUGCUGGAGCUUAUCUUUGGCUCUGACCUUCAGCUUUUAUCUUUGUGCACCACCCAUCCGAUUCCCUGCUUCGGGACUGGAGCCCUUCUUUAUCUUCUCAGUCCUGCGUACCCCAGGCACUCAGUAAGUGCUCAUUGAAUGGGGGCACUAAGGUGGGGUCCCUGUGUUUAGGCCCAGGGCGCACUGAUGGUUGAGAUGUGCUGCUCUUUGAAGCGGCAGCGCUGUGCUCUGCGCCUGGGGGUGCGGGCCACCUACUGGAAGAACUGGGCUCACCUCAUAUUUGGAAGGACAGUCGAUUUGAGACCCUGAAGGGACAAAGGACAUUUUCAAGGCGUUCCUGUCGUGACUCAGUUGUUAACGAACCCGACUAGUAUCCAUGAGGAUGCGUGUUCAAUCCCCGGCCUUGCUCAGGGGGUUAAGGAUCCGGUGUUGCCGUGAGCUGUGUAUAGGUCGAAGAUGCAGCUGGAUCUGGCUUUGCUGUGGCUGUGGUGUAGGCCACCAGGUACAGCUCCAACUUGAUCCCUAGCCUGGGAACCUCCAUAUGCUGCGGGUGCGGCCCUAAAAAAG
RNAcentral lists this long non-coding RNA (1356 nucleotides) under Sus scrofa (pig). RNAcentral's name for it is "lncRNA (ENSSSCG00000055979.1)". Lineage: Eukaryota; Metazoa; Chordata; Mammalia; Artiodactyla; Suidae. The record is from RNAcentral.